AGAGUUUGAUCCUGGCUCAGAUUGAACGCUGGCGGUAUGCCUUACACAUGCAAGUCGAACGGUAGAGGGGCAAUCCUCGAGAGUGGCGAACGGGUGAGUAAUACAUCGGAACGUGCCCAGUCGUGGGGGAUAACGUAGCGAAAGCUACGCUAAUACCGCAUACGACCCGAGGGUGAAAGCGGGGGACUCGCAAGAGCCUCGCGCGAUUGGAGCGGCCGAUGGCAGAUUAGGUAGUUGGUGGGGUAAAGGCCCACCGAGCCUGCGAUCUGUAGCUGGUCUGAGAGGACGACCAGCCACACUGGGACUGAGACACAGCCCAGACUCCUACGGAGGCAGCAAUGGGGAAUUUUGGACAAUGGGCGAAAGCCUGAUCCAGCCAUACCGCGUGCGGGAAGAAGGCCUUCGGGUUGUAAACCGCUUUUGUCAGGGAAGAAAUACUUCGGGCUAAUACCCUGGGGUGAUGACGGUACCUGAAGAAUAAGCACCGGCUAACUACGUGCCAGCAGCCGCGGUAAUACGUAGGGUGCAAGCGUUAAUCGGAAUUACUGGGCGUAAAGCGUGCGCAGGCGGUUCUAUAAGACAGAUGUGAAAUCCCCGGGCUCAGCCUGCGAACUGCAUUUGUGACUGUAGAGCUAGAGUACGGUA
RNAcentral lists this ribosomal RNA (645 nucleotides) under uncultured bacterium. Its description in RNAcentral is "bacterial SSU rRNA". It matches the Rfam family "Bacterial small subunit ribosomal RNA", at positions 8 to 653 of the family's 1533-position model. The record is from RNAcentral.